AUUUUGUUAAUGCUUAGCCAGGAAUUUUUCUGUCUUUAGCUGGGAUUCCUUUAAAUUAACUGAAAACAGAUAUUUAGUCAAUUUAUCAGUUUUUAUAGUAUGAUUAAAGGCAGAAUCGAAGUUUUAUUUCAUACAAAAUUCAUAGACAAAUGAUAUAUUUCAAGGUUGUGGGACGAUAGUACUCAUAAAAAGACCGUUUAGCAUGAUGAAGA
Molecule: unclassified non-coding RNA, 212 nt
Filed under: Hevea brasiliensis (rubber tree)
Lineage: Eukaryota; Viridiplantae; Streptophyta; Magnoliopsida; Malpighiales; Euphorbiaceae
Source: RNAcentral